UACGUAGGGCGCAAGCGUUAUCCGGAAUUACUGGGCGUAAAGGGCGCGUAGGCGGCCUGUUAAGUCGGACGUGAAAUCCCUCGGCUCAACCGGGGAACUGCGUCCGAUACUGGCGGGCUUGAAUUCGGGAGAGGGAUGUGGAAUUCCAGGUGUAGCGGUGAAAUGCGUAGAUAUCUGGAGGAACACCGGUGGCGAAGGCGGCAUCCUGGACCGACAUUGACGCUGAGGCGCGAAAGCCAGGGGAGCAAACGGG
This 253-nucleotide ribosomal RNA is filed under the name uncultured bacterium. Its description in RNAcentral is "partial 16S ribosomal RNA". It matches the Rfam family "Bacterial small subunit ribosomal RNA", at positions 524 to 776 of the family's 1533-position model. The record is from RNAcentral.